ACUCCUACGGGAGGCAGCAGUGGGGAAUAUUGGGCAAUGGGCGAAAGCCUGACCCAGCAACGCCGCGUGAGGGAAGAAGGUUUUCGGAUCGUAAACCUCUGUCCUUAGUGAAGAGAAAGAGACGGUAGCUAAGGAGGAAGCCCCGGCUAACUACGUGCCAGCAGCCGCGGUAAUACGUAGGGGGCGAGCGUUGUCCGGAAUGAUUGGGCGUAAAGGGCGCGUAGGCGGCCUGUUAAGUCCGGAGUGAAAUUCCUGCUUUCAAGGUAGGAAGUGCUUUGGAAACUGGCGGGCUGGAGUGCAGGAGAGGUUAGCGGAAUUCCCGGUGUAGCGGUGAAAUGCGUAGAGAUCGGGAGGAACACCAGUGGCGAAGGCGGCUAACUGGACUGUAACUGACGCUGAGGCGCGAAAGUGUGGGGAGCAAACAGGAUUAGAUACCCUGGUAGUC
RNAcentral lists this ribosomal RNA (445 nucleotides) under uncultured bacterium. RNAcentral's name for it is "bacterial SSU rRNA". It matches the Rfam family "Bacterial small subunit ribosomal RNA", at positions 335 to 795 of the family's 1533-position model. The record is from RNAcentral.